This 253-nucleotide ribosomal RNA is filed under the name uncultured bacterium. Its description in RNAcentral is "partial 16S ribosomal RNA". It matches the Rfam family "Bacterial small subunit ribosomal RNA", at positions 524 to 776 of the family's 1533-position model. The record is from RNAcentral.
UACGUAGGGUGCAAGCGUUAAUCGGAAUUACUGGGCGUAAAGCGUGCGCAGGCGGUUCUGAAAGUCAGCUGUGAAAGCCCCGGGCUUAACCUGGGAAUUGCGGUUGAAACUACAGGGCUAGAAUCUGGCAGAGGGAGGUGGAAUUCCACGUGUAGCAGUGAAAUGCGUAGAGAUGUGGAGGAACACCGAUGGCGAAGGCAGCCUCCUGGGCCAGCACUGACGCUCAUGCACGAAAGCGUGGGGAGCAAACAGG